ACUCGCUCUAGCAUACUGCGGAAGCUAAUUUACAAACUCUACAAGGAAAAGCGAAAACCUUUCUUUGUGAUUUUAUUUGCCAGUUGAAUAUUUUUAAGUCGUUUGUGAAAUUACGUAUAUUUGGCGAUAAUUGUGUGUAUUUUGAUUCUUGAAGUUGUUAAAAGUUCAGGACAAGUGUUCGAAUUUAAAUUAAACAAACCACAAAGUGUAUUGGUGAAAAAUAAGUCAUACGCAGUCAACGUGUUGGGCAGCAGACCAGUCUGAUUAUCGACUGUCUGUAUUGGACAGGAAUCGAGUGGUUCAUUUUAGCUGCGAAAUUGAAUUUAUAAUGGUGGAAAUAGCGCAAGACUUCACAAAGGGUAAAACUCCCGCAACGCUGUAUGAACAAUGUCUCGGCUGCUACGUCGCCAAACUCAAUUACAAUGUCCAAACUCUGGAUAGUGUGCAGCAGUUGCGAUAUUUGCCACCAGGCGUACUAAGCGAUGUUUAUGUCAUGAUGUCCAAGCAUGAUGAACUUAAGGACAUGCUGUUGGAGCAGCUCAUCGAUUUAAGCACCUUUGAACGGCUACUUCGGUUUGAUCCUGUGCGUCUAAAGCUUUUUCGUUGUCUAACCGCAUUGAUGAGUAGCGGUAAACUUCUAUCCACGCAACUUCAACAAAACUUUACCAUGCGCUAUCGCCAGAAACAAGACUCAACAAAAUUCAACAAGACUGCUACAACUGAGCCAAGCUCAAGCUCAAGCUCUAAACCGCUAAAGAAAUCGCCUAAUUUUCCCACUACCCCAACCAUGGUUGAUUUAUUUGCCAAUGCAAGCAUAAGCACAACUGUCAAAGAUAAUGACGUUUAUGAGAACUCAAGCGUGAAAACUGAGUCUUCAAUUGUUAAUGAUAUUGACCCAGAUGUAAUUUUUGAAGAAUUACCUUUGGAUGAUUUUCACUUUGGUUUGGAUGUUAUCGACUUUGGAUUACGGUUGGGCUCGUUUCUGUCCGAAGCCGGUUGGCUGGCGGACAGCGUAGAGAUUUUACAGUGUGUAGCGUCAAAAUUGCGUAACAUGCCAGCGGAUAAGCAACAUAUGCUCGUGCGGCUUGAUUGCCUGCAAAGAUUACUACAUUCCCAAUCUACUUUAUAUAGUUUUAAAUCUGCCGAACGCACAUUUGAUGAAACGGUGGCACUGCUCAAAGAGUUGUCUCAGGACAAUGUACCACGUGCACUAUUAGCAAAAAUUUACACUCAGUUCUCGGCCAUGUACUUUGCGCGCAGUGAAUAUGACAAUAGCCACAUGUGGAGCUCCAUUGCCAUGCGGCAUUUAGAAGAAUCAACGCCAGAAAGGAUUGCAGUAGAUGUUUUGCGGCAAGCAGCCAAGGCAUGCGUGGUGAAACGAGAUUUUCAACGAGCGAAUCUUCUAAUAAGUCAAGCAACGUACAGGGCGAGAAAAACCUUUGGUGCACAACAUCAAAAAUAUGCCGACAGCUUACUCGAUUACGGAUUUUUCCUUCUGAAUGUCGACUCAGUGUAUCAAAGCGUUAUUGUUUACAAAGACGCGCUCGAAAUUAGACGUAACAUAUUCGGCAAUCGCAAUUUUCAUGUAGCAAUAGCACACGAGGAUCUCUCUUAUGCUUACUAUGUUCACGAAUACAGCACCGGUAAUUUCUCUUGCGCACGCAAACAUGUCGAAAAAGCCAUCGAAAUUAUGGAAUACUUAGUGCCGAGAAAUCACUUGGUGCUGGCAUCAGCAAAACGUGUGAAAGCGUUGCUACUUGAGGAAAUCGCGUUAGAUAAGCUAACUGAUGGAGGCGCUGAUGAAGAUGGACUUUUGCGCCAAUCUGAGGAGCUGCAUAAUUUUGCGCUGAAGUUAUCAUUGGAAAUGUUCGGCGAAGUGAACGUGCAAACAGCCAAGCACUACGGCAAUUUAGGCCGACUUUAUCAAACUAUGAAUCGAUUUGAGGAAGCGGAACGUAUGCAUCUAAAAGCAAUACAAAUUAAAACAGAUCUUUUGGGUGCCUAUGAUUAUGAAGUGGGUCUUUCGAUUGGUCACUUGGCUUCACUUUAUAAUUAUCAUAUGGGAAAAUAUCGCGAAGCAGAAUCAUUGUACAUGCGCAGCAUUGAGAUUAGUUUACGCCUAUUCGGAAAAUCGUAUUCAGGACUAGAAUAUGACUACUUAGGCUUGUGUCAUGUGUACGAAACGCGUCGCGAAUUUGAAAAGUAUUUAAAGUAUGCGAUUAUACUGGAAAAUUGGCAGAUGUUACGCGGCCAGAAUAUCGCUAUGAACAAAACCUAUGCUGAAGCUAGCGACGACUACUCAUUGGAAGAAGUGAAAUAUCAAUUCUUUAACAUGUGCACGCAAAAUUCAACGACAACCGCGACCACAGAUACGGGAACGAUCGUACAUAAUUGAUUGGACCCACGUACGCGUACUAUAUAUAGGCACGCCAAUGCGCUCAAGACUACGUAAAACAGGCGAAUAGUAUUUACUUCCAUAUGCAGCGGCUUGACACAAAGUCUUCAAUCGAUUGCUUGUUCAGUCUAUAUAUUGUAUAUGAGGUUGUGUACUUUAAAGUGAUACGCUUGAAUUGAAAACUUGAUUAUGCUACAUCGGAUGCACAUACGACUCCACACACUGCUUACUUUAAUUAUUAUAAGCACAUUUGUUUUGUUUUUUUUUUACAUAUUUUCAAGAGAAAAGAACGAAACGCCCUAUGUUUAAUUUUUGACCAUCAUUAUUAUUUUAGUUUGUUGUAAAUCAUAUGAAUGAGUAAUGUGUAAAAUAUGUUAAAGAAAGCUGAUUCCCGCUAAGAUUUUUAAGGGUGUUAGCUGAACAAAGGUCAAGUCUAUUUUUGAAAAGCUAGAAACAAAUGUAGAGCUACUUUGAAUUUUUAGACGCAUUGCACAAAAACUCACAUAAACCGAUAAAUUAAGCUAGGGAAGUAGUUGCUUAAACUUUUCAGAGGUGGCGUAGAACAAAUAUUUUGUUGCUACAGCCGGUGAAAAUAUAAACGCUCAUAUGAAUGAUAUAAUGCCUUGGAAAUUUUGACUUUGUGAAUUAAAGCUUAGAACACAUAUAUGUAUGUAGAUAUGCGAUUUUUUCACAUCAUGUUCAUUCAUACAAAAUUUAUAUUAAAAAGGUGCUGUUUUAUAUUGAGUUACACGACGAUAGCAAUAUUUAAAAAAAAUCCGCCAAUACAUAUUAAAUUUUUAUUAUACACUUGUAUUAUUGUAUUUCGGAAUUCGAUAGCAAAAUUAUCCUAAAUCGCGUUUAUGAUAAAUUUGCACAUUUUUUCUUAUGCCCGCCACGGAUUUUCCCGCUUUAAAAAGUAAUGUAUAAUUUUUUUUUUGCUUCUUCGCAAUUGUGUAGUAUUGGCAAGGUUUAUAAUUUUAUAUUUUACUUGGUUUCCUCUUAAAAAUUAUGUAUUAGAUACUCCAGUAUAUAUGUUUUUUUAACUUAUGGUUUAGUACAUACGAAUUUAGUAUUUGGUUUAAUGUUUUAUGUUUUUUCUUAGUUUUCAAGAAUUUAUGCGUUUGUAUUAGGGCUGUGCGAUUAUUCGAUGACUCGAGCAAGUUGGUUAAUCAAUUACUACAACUGAAAUCUCAGUGUUUUAAAACACAAUUGGUAUAUGUAUUCAUCCACAGCAUUAUUCUGUUGUCUUAAAAACUAAAAUAAAACAAUCUUUUUACAGUA
This 3676-nucleotide unclassified non-coding RNA is filed under the name Rhagoletis pomonella (apple maggot). Its description in RNAcentral is "amyloid protein-binding protein 2-like, transcript variant X1". The record is from RNAcentral. Lineage: Eukaryota; Metazoa; Arthropoda; Insecta; Diptera; Tephritidae.